UACGGAGGGUGCAAGCGUUAUCCGGAAUCAUUGGGUUUAAAGGGUCCGCAGGCGGAUGUAUAAGUCAGUGGUGAAAUCCUACAGCUUAACUGUAGAACUGCCAUUGAUACUGUACAUCUUGAAUUCGGUCGAAGUGGGCGGAAUAUGUCAUGUAGCGGUGAAAUGCUUAGAUAUGACAUAGAACACCGAUAGCGAAGGCAGCUCACUAGGCCUGGAUUGACGCUCAGGGACGAAAGCGUGGGUAGCGAACAGG
Molecule: ribosomal RNA, 253 nt
Filed under: uncultured bacterium
Lineage: Bacteria
Description: partial 16S ribosomal RNA
Rfam family: Bacterial small subunit ribosomal RNA
Source: RNAcentral